GAGCUCCUACGGGGCGCAGCAGUGAGGAAUAUUGGUCAAUGGGCGAGAGCCUGAACCAGCCAAGUCGCGUGAAGGAUGACGGCCCUAUGGGUUGUAAACUUCUUUUGUCAGGGAGCAAUUGGGUCCACGCGUGGGCUUAGCGAGAGUACCUGAAGAAAAAGCAUCGGCUAACUCCGUGCCAGCAGCCGCGGUAAUACGGAGGAUGCGAGCGUUAUCCGGAUUUAUUGGGUUUAAAGGGUGCGCAGGCGGACCAUCAAGUCAGCGGUAAAAUCGUGGGGCCCAACCCCAUCC
This 291-nucleotide ribosomal RNA is filed under the name uncultured bacterium. Its description in RNAcentral is "partial 16S ribosomal RNA". It matches the Rfam family "Bacterial small subunit ribosomal RNA", at positions 334 to 620 of the family's 1533-position model. The record is from RNAcentral.